GCGAAUGGUGGCUCACGCGCUCUGGAGAUAGAUUAAGUUCGCAGCAGACAUUCUGACAGCCUUACUCAGUCUGUAAUUGAUCCACAAACCUUUUGAACAUUGGGGGAUGAUUUUCCACGUAAUGUUCGAUGUACUGGGUGUUCAUGUCCAGCUAGCAGCUGUGUAAAAGGAGCAUGGGUCGAUAUGGCCAUCCUAUUCCAAAGACUUCAUGGAACUACUCCAAUCGGAGAAUCAACUGAAAUCCAAAAGUCUUCCUGUCUCAUCUAUGGGCAUAUCUUAAGCUUAAAAAAAAUACGAGUCCCAGAAGUCUGUAACAAACCUUGAUGCCCAUUAUUUAUCUUGCUGGUCUACGAAACAAUUUAGAAUGAACAAAAAUCCAUUAAUAGUGCAUAAAAUCCAUUUACUGUAAAGCCAGGCCUCAAAAACUGUUUCAAAAUAAAUCAUCAUGG
Long non-coding RNA from Rhincodon typus (whale shark), 449 nucleotides. RefSeq lists it as uncharacterized. The record is from RefSeq and is a predicted model, not a curated record. The transcript is spliced from 3 exons. Lineage: Eukaryota; Metazoa; Chordata; Chondrichthyes; Orectolobiformes; Rhincodontidae.